GGAGGUUGUGCCCUUGAGGCGUGGCUUCCGGAGCUAACGCGUUAAAUCGACCGCCUGGGGAGUACGGCCGCAAGGUUAAAACUCAAAUGAAUUGACGGGGGCCCGCACAAGCGGUGGAGCAUGUGGUUUAAUUCGAUGCAACGCGAAGAACCUUACCUGGUCUUGACAUCCACAGAACUUAGCAGAGAUGCUUUGGUGCCUUCGGGAACUGUGAGACAGGUGCUGCAUGGCUGUCGUCAGCUCGUGUUGUGAAAUGUUGGGUUAAGUCCCGCAACGAGCGCAACCCUUAUCCUUUGUUGCCAGCGGUUAGGCCGGGAACUCAAAGGAGACUGCCAGUGAUAAACUGGAGGAAGGUGGGGAUGACGUCAAGUCAUCAUGGCCCUUACGACCAGGGCUACACACGUGCUACAAUGGCGCAUACAAAGAGAAGCGACCUCGCGAGAGCAAGCGGACCUCAUAAAGUGCGUCGUAGUCCGGAUUGGAGUCUGCAACUCGACUCCAUGAAGUCGGAAUCGCUAGUAAUCGUAGAUCAGAAUGCUACGGUGAAUACGUUCCCGGGCCUUGUACACACCGCCCGUC
RNAcentral lists this ribosomal RNA (579 nucleotides) under Kosakonia sp. Its description in RNAcentral is "bacterial SSU rRNA". It matches the Rfam family "Bacterial small subunit ribosomal RNA", at positions 819 to 1398 of the family's 1533-position model. Lineage: Bacteria; Pseudomonadati; Pseudomonadota; Gammaproteobacteria; Enterobacterales; Enterobacteriaceae. The record is from RNAcentral.